Cydia fagiglandana is the source of this 1206-nucleotide long non-coding RNA. RefSeq lists it as uncharacterized. The transcript has 3 exons. The record is from RefSeq and is a predicted model, not a curated record. Lineage: Eukaryota; Metazoa; Arthropoda; Insecta; Lepidoptera; Tortricidae.
CAUAAAAAAUCCUUAAAUGAGGAAUGAUCAGCUUAUUAGCUAAUCCACUGUUUAGGCUUAAUAAGCCGUUGAUAAGAACCAUGAUUUAUAAACGUUUAUUAGGGGCUUCUUAACUAAUAAGCAGAUUAGACGCGUUAUGUUGGCAUCUUGGCACAUCAUAGACAAAAAUAUGGCUGAACAUUAAUUUAAAAAAAAAAGUUUGACAGCAGCACUAGCGGCCAAUCGUAAUAUCAUGAAAAAGUUGAUUUACUAUUUUGACUAAUUUUCGGAAUUAUCUCAUAUUAAAAUAGCUUCUGUGCCACAAAAAUAAACAAAGAUUGCUGCAUGGCCGGUAAUUUUAUAAAACUUGUUUCAAUAUUAUGUGGAAUGGAGUCGAAAGAAGUGGGGUUCUAGCCGAAGUGCAUAAUUAGCGAAAAGAAGAAGUCGAAGCCAGAUACCGUACCAGGCCUCCAGUCGCCUCCGCAAGAAGAACCAUUGAAUAAUGGUUCAUGAGUUCACACUAAUUUAUUCUGGUUGCGGCAGAAAUUCACAACGGGUCAACAAAACCAAGGUCCAUUCAAACUCACUAAAUCAGGUAUGAACAAUGUCCUAUACUUUCUUGUUUACCUCAUACCUGCAGUGUUUAGAGUUAGACCAAGAAAAGUCUGCAGCGAUUUUGAUGAUAACUCUAGGUACAGUUCAAAUUUUGGGCAUGACCAUCUAUUUAUAAUAUAUUAUAGACAUAGGUAACUACAUAAAAUGUUGUAUCUGAACGUGUUAACAAUGACACUUGCAUUGACAGCUUUGACAUUAUUUAAAGGUUAUAAAACUUAUAAAUUUGGUAAAUCUAUCCGUGCUUUGUGGAGCUUGGUGUAUUUGUUUAAAAUUAUGCAUACCUACCUAAUAUAGGUAUUAUAUUUCUUAACCAUACAAUGGAACCAAAUGAUAAUUAUAUGUACAAGUGAUGUUUUAUUGUAACAAGCCUUUGUGUCGCGAGUUUACUUAUCCUGAAAGUACCAUCUUUAGCCACUGUUACUGUUGAAUAACUCCAGGCUUUGGAAGAAAAGCUGUGGCCUGCGAACAGCUGUGAAUAUAGGUCGGAGAAGUGUAACUGACUCCGUACACUGCAAGUCCCAGCAGGAAAUCAGCAAGAAACCUAAAAGAAAAAAAAAACAUCAAAAUGGAAACCUUGAUUUAGGUUGAAGUAAUAAAAUUGUUCUAAUUUAA